RNAcentral lists this long non-coding RNA (477 nucleotides) under Rattus norvegicus (Norway rat). RNAcentral describes it as "long non-coding RNA NONRATT023855". Lineage: Eukaryota; Metazoa; Chordata; Mammalia; Rodentia; Muridae. The record is from RNAcentral.
CAGGUUCACACAACCCUCCCGGUUUGUGGAGCUUCUCAGACGCAUCUUGAAUCCCUACUGGCGCUGCUCACUCUGGCCCUCAGGAUCCUAGAGGAAAGUCUGAGGUCUCCAGAAAGCCUACAGGCUAACAAGGACGCACUGAGCGCUUCCCAACCGCCAAGAGAGCGAAGGAGCAGCAAGCCUGAGUUCAGGGGGCUCCUUGCUAAGUGAAGUGGCGUCAGGUGGGCCUACACAGUCUCCUUACCUCCGUAACUGUGACUCAUACCCCCGACUCCCGAGGAGUAAGAGACAGAAGAGACUACAAUGGCCACAGUCUACGGACACCCCCACUUCUUGCUGCUCUGUCCACUGAACUGGGGUCCUCUACGGUAACAACUCCUCCAUCCACCUCAUUGGAGCAAGAGAUCCACGGGACAGAACUACUGUUCAGCACAGCGUCUGUCCAAUAAAUAUUUACUGAAAUAAACACAGAAAGCU